Prunus avium (sweet cherry) is the source of this 345-nucleotide non-coding RNA. NCBI's taxonomy places the organism in Eukaryota, Viridiplantae, Streptophyta, Magnoliopsida, Rosales, Rosaceae. The record is from RefSeq and is a predicted model, not a curated record.
UAAAGAAGAGAGCGAGACCUACACACACAGCCUAAAACAAUACAAAUACAAACCCCACAACCUCUCUCUUCUGUUCUCUUCUCUUCUUCUUCGCUUCGAGUUUGGGGUUUCGCUUCUCUCUCUUCAAAUCUCUCGCCCUUUUUCUCCGGCCUGCUCCGUACGGCCUUUCGGCCUUAGGAUGUGUAUGCGUCCGUCGCCUCCGUCUCUCUCUCCUCUCUCAGUUUAAAGUAGAGAAGCUGAGGUGAAAAUAUGACAACCCUAAGAUCAAACUUGCCAUCGAGGAUUCGUCAACUUCUGUCCGCCGACGGUGCUCUCGGGCCGUCCAUCAAACUCGACUCUGAGCCU